RNAcentral lists this transfer RNA (72 nucleotides) under archaeon. Its description in RNAcentral is "tRNA-Ala". It matches the Rfam family "tRNA". Rfam says of the family: Transfer RNA (tRNA) molecules are approximately 80 nucleotides in length. The record is from RNAcentral.
GGGCCUGUAGCUUAAUGGUAGAGCGCUGCCCUUGCAAGGCAGAGGUUCUGGGUUCAAAUCCCAGCAGGUCCA